UUAUGUUUUGUCAUUGUUUGUCUGGUUGACUUGUAGCUUGAAGGUAUGUAAACGAUCGUCGAGGAAAAGUAUGGCGACGUCGAGGAAAAGGCCGAAAUCGAUCAUUGUGGAACCCAGUGGAACCGAUCAGCCUUGCCUGGAAUCGAUCAAUCCAGUAGAACACAUCGUCUUUGCUGAUCAACCUUCAGGUAAGUCAUACUAUCCAGACAACGUAAAAAUUGAAAACCUAUAAAUCUAAUCAUUAUCUUGGGAGACAUAGUAUUCAUCGUUUCGGCCAAAAGAGCCUACUACUCUAAUACAUUAUUUUCGAUUUCUUUUUAGUGUUAUCGUCUGCCUUUUGACAAGAAUAUCAUCACAGAUCGCGGUCGGGAAGAAGAGGCACAUAGAUGACGACGUUGUGCUCUCGGAAAUCAACCUUAGUUCACAGCAGGAACAACUUAUUGUGUUUAUUACCG
RNAcentral lists this long non-coding RNA (455 nucleotides) under Zostera marina. RNAcentral's name for it is "long non-coding RNA (ZMAR_LNC003083)". The record is from RNAcentral. Lineage: Eukaryota; Viridiplantae; Streptophyta; Magnoliopsida; Alismatales; Zosteraceae.